Molecule: ribosomal RNA, 412 nt
Filed under: Stutzerimonas stutzeri
Lineage: Bacteria; Pseudomonadati; Pseudomonadota; Gammaproteobacteria; Pseudomonadales; Pseudomonadaceae
Description: bacterial SSU rRNA
Rfam family: Bacterial small subunit ribosomal RNA
Source: RNAcentral
AUUGAACGCUGGCGGCAGGCCUAACACAUGCAAGUCGAGCGGAUGAGAAGAGCUUGCUCUUCGAUUCAGCGGCGGACGGGUGAGUAAUACCUAGGAAUCUGCCUGGUAGUGGGGGACAACGUUUCGAAAGGAACGCUAAUACCGCAUACGUCCUACGGGAGAAAGCAGGGGACCUUCGGGCCUUGCGCUAUCAGAUGAGCCUAGGUCGGAUUAGCUAGUUGGUGAGGUAAUGGCUCACCAAGGCUACGAUCCGUAACUGGUCUGAGAGGAUGAUCAGUCACACUGGAACUGAGACACGGUCCAGACUCCUACGGGAGGCAGCAGUGGGGAAUAUUGGACAGUGGGCGAAAGCCUGAUCCAGCCAUGCCGCGUGUGUGAAGAAGGUUCUUCGGAUUGUAAAAGCCACUUUAAA